RNAcentral lists this ribosomal RNA (2689 nucleotides) under Staphylococcus aureus. RNAcentral's name for it is "bacterial LSU rRNA". Lineage: Bacteria; Bacillati; Bacillota; Bacilli; Caryophanales; Staphylococcaceae. The record is from RNAcentral.
ACGAUAUGCUUUGGGGAGCUGUAAGUAAGCUUUGAUCCAGAGAUUUCCGAAUGGGGAAACCCAGCAUGAGUUAUGUCAUGUUAUCGAUAUGUGAAUACAUAGCAUAUCAGAAGGCACACCCGGAGAACUGAAACAUCUUAGUACCCGGAGGAAGAGAAAGAAAAUUCGAUUCCCUUAGUAGCGGCGAGCGAAACGGGAAGAGCCCAAACCAACAAGCUUGCUUGUUGGGGUUGUAGGACACUCUAUACGGAGUUACAAAGGACGACAUUAGACGAAUCAUCUGGAAAGAUGAAUCAAAGAAGGUAAUAAUCCUGUAGUCGAAAAUGUUGUCUCUCUUGAGUGRAUCCUGAGUACGACGGAGCACGUGAAAUUCCGUCGGAAUCUGGGAGGACCAUCUCCUAAGGCUAAAUACUCUCUAGUGACCGAUAGUGAACCAGUACCGUGAGGGAAAGGUGAAAAGCACCCCGGAAGGGGAGUGAAAUAGAACCUGAAACCGUGUGCUUACAAGUAGUCAGAGCCCGUUAAUGGGUGAUGGCGUGCCUUUUGUAGAAUGAACCGGCGAGUUACGAUUUGAUGCAAGGUUAAGCAGUAAAUGUGGAGCCGUAGCGAAAGCGAGUCUGAAUAGGGCGUUUAGUAUUUGGUCGUAGACCCGAAACCAGGUGAUCUACCCUUGGUCAGGUUGAAGUUCAGGUAACACUGAAUGGAGGACCGAACCGACUUACGUUGAAAAGUGAGCGGAUGAACUGAGGGUAGCGGAGAAAUUCCAAUCGAACCUGGAGAUAGCUGGUUCUCUCCGAAAUAGCUUUAGGGCUAGCCUCAAGUGAUGAUUAUUGGAGGUAGAGCACUGUUUGGACGAGGGGCCCCUCUCGGGUUACCGAAUUCAGACAAACUCCGAAUGCCAAUUAAUUUAACUUGGGAGUCAGAACAUGGGUGAUAAGGUCCRUGUUCGAAAGGGAAACAGCCCAGACCACCAGCUAAGGUCCCAAAAUAUAUGUUAAGUGGAAAAGGAUGUGGCGUUGCCCAGACAACUAGGAUGUUGGCUUAGAAGCAGCCAUCAUUUAAAGAGUGCGUAAUAGCUCACUAGUCGAGUGACACUGCGCCGAAAAUGUACCGGGGCUAAACAUAUUACCGAAGCUGUGGAUUGUCCUUUGGACAAUGGUAGGAGAGCGUUCUAAGGGCGUUGAAGCAUGAUCGUAAGGACAUGUGGAGCGCUUAGAAGUGAGACGUCCGCUCUGGGUUAGUCGGGUCCUAAGCUGAGGCCGACAGGCGUAGGCGAUGGAUAACAGGUUGAUAUUCCUGUACCACCUAUAAUCGUUUUAAUCGAUGGGGGGACGCAGUAGGAUAGGCGAAGCGUGCGAUUGGAUUGCACGUCUAAGCAGUAAGGCUGAGUAUUAGGCAAAUCCGGUACUCGUUAAGGCUGAGCUGUGAUGGGGAGAAGACAUUGUGUCUUCGAGUCGUUGAUUUCACACUGCCGAGAAAAGCCUCUAGAUAGAAAAUAGGUGCCCGUACCGCAAACCGACACAGGUAGUCAAGAUGAGAAUUCUAAGGUGAGCGAGCGAACUCUCGUUAAGGAACUCGGCAAAAUGACCCCGUAACUUCGGGAGAAGGGGUGCUCUUUAGGGUUAACGCCCAGAAGAGCCGCAGUGAAUAGGCCCAAGCGACUGUUUAUCAAAAACACAGGUCUCUGCUAAACCGUAAGGUGAUGUAUAGGGGCUGACGCCUGCCCGGUGCUGGAAGGUUAAGAGGAGUGGUUAGCUUCUGCGAAGCUACGAAUCGAAGCCCCAGUAAACGGCGGCCGUAACUAUAACGGUCCUAAGGUAGCGAAAUUCCUUGUCGGGUAAGUUCCGACCCGCACGAAAGGCGUAACGAUUUGGGCACUGUCUCAACGAGAGACUCGGUGAAAUCAUAGUACCUGUGAAGAUGCAGGUUACCCGCGACAGGACGGAAAGACCCCGUGGAGCUUUACUGUAGCCUGAUAUUGAAAUUCGGCACAGCUUGUACAGGAUAGGUAGGAGCCUUUGAAACGUGAGCGCUAGCUUACGUGGAGGCGCUGGUGGGAUACUACCCUAGCUGUGUUGGCUUUCUAACCCGCACCACUUAUCGUGGUGGGAGACAGUGUCAGGCGGGCAGUUUGACUGGGGCGGUCGCCUCCUAAAAGGUAACGGAGGCGCUCAAAGGUUYCCUCAGAAUGGUUGGAAAUCAUUCAUAGAGUGUAAAGGCAUAAGGGAGCUUGACUGCGAGACCUACAAGUCGAGCAGGGUCGAAAGACGGACUUAGUGAUCCGGUGGUUCCGCAUGGAAGGGCCAUCGCUCAACGGAUAAAAGCUACCCCGGGGAUAACAGGCUUAUCUCCCCCAAGAGUUCACAUCGACGGGGAGGUUUGGCACCUCGAUGUCGGCUCAUCGCAUCCUGGGGCUGUAGUCGGUCCCAAGGGUUGGGCUGUUCGCCCAUUAAAGCGGUACGCGAGCUGGGUUCAGAACGUCGUGAGACAGUUCGGUCCCUAUCCGUCGUGGGCGUAGGAAAUUUGAGAGGAGCUGUCCUUAGUACGAGAGGACCGGGAUGGACAUACCUCUGGUGUACCAGUUGUCGUGCCAACGGCAUAGCUGGGUAGCUAUGUGUGGACGGGAUAAGUGCUGAAAGCAUCUAAGCAUGAAGCCCCCCUCAAGAUGAGAUUUCCCAACUUCGGUUAU